This 460-nucleotide ribosomal RNA is filed under the name uncultured bacterium. RNAcentral describes it as "partial 16S ribosomal RNA". It matches the Rfam family "Bacterial small subunit ribosomal RNA", at positions 338 to 795 of the family's 1533-position model. The record is from RNAcentral.
CCUACGGGAGGCAGCAGUGAGGAAUAUUGGUCAAUGGCCGGAAGGCUGAACCAGCCAUGCCGCGUGAAGGUCAGUGCCCUAUGGGCGUUAAACUUCUUUUGUGCGGGAGCAAUAAUGGUCACGUGUGGCCAGACGAGAGUACCGUACGAAUAAGCCUCGGCUAACUCCGUGCCAGCAGCCGCGGUAAUACGGGGGAUGCAAGCGUUAUCCGGAUUUAUUGGGUUUAAAGGGUGCGUAGGCUGUGAGGUAAGUCAGCGGUGAAAUGCCCCCGCUCAACGGGGUGAAGUGCCAUUGAUACUGCCUGGCUGGAAUGCGGAUGCCGUGGGAGGAAUGUGUGGUGUAGCGGUGAAAUGCAUAGAUAUCACACAGAACACCGAUUGCGAAGGCAUCUCACGAAUCCGCGAUUGACGCUGAUGCACGAAAGCGUGGGUAUCAAACAGGAUUAGAUACCCCAGUAGUC